AGAAUCAACGCUGGCGGCAUGCCUAACACAUGCAAGUCGAACGCGACUGAGGUUUCGGCCUCAGUUGAGUGGCGAACGGGUGAGUAACACGUGGGUGACCUACCUUUGAAUGGGGGAUAACGUCCCGAAAGGGACGCUAAUACCGCAUAACAUCCUGCCCUUGAGCGGGUGGAGAUCAAAGCCGGGGAUCGCAAGACCUGGCGUUUGAAGAGGGACCUGCGCCCGAUUAGCUAGUUGGUGAGGUAACGGCUCACCAAGGCGACGAUCGGUAGCCGGCCUGAGAGGGCGGACGGCCACACUGGGACUGAGACACGGCCCAGACUCCUACGGGAGGCAGCAGUGGGGAAUUGUUCGCAAUGGGCGCAAGCCUGACGACGCAAUGCCGCGUGUAGGAUGAAGGUCUUCGGAUCGUAAACUACUGUUGCCCGGGACGAAUAGCUCCGACCUAAUACGUCGGAGUCUGACGGUACCGGGUGAGGAAGCCCCGGCUAACUCUGUGCCAGCAGCCGCGGUAAUACAGAGGGGGCGAGCGUUGUUCGGAAUUACUGGGCGUAAAGGGCGCGUAGGCGGCCUUUUAAGUCGAACGUGAAAUCCCCGGGCUCAACCCGGGAACUGCGUCCGAGACUGGAAGGCUCGAAUCCGGGAGAGGGGUGUGGAAUUCCAGGUGUAGCGGUGAAAUGCGUAGAUAUCUGGAGGAACAUCGGUGGCGAAGGCGGCAUCCUGGACCGGUAUUGACGCUGAGGCGCGAAAGCCAGGGGAGCAAACGGGAUUAGAUACCCCGGUAGUCCUGGCCCUAAACGAUGAAUACUUGGUGUGGCGGGUAUCGAUCCCUGCCGUGCCGAAGCUAACGCAUUAAGUAUUCCGCCUGGGGAGUACGGUCGCAAGGCUG
RNAcentral lists this ribosomal RNA (889 nucleotides) under uncultured bacterium. Its description in RNAcentral is "bacterial SSU rRNA". It matches the Rfam family "Bacterial small subunit ribosomal RNA", at positions 26 to 896 of the family's 1533-position model. The record is from RNAcentral.